Long non-coding RNA from Xiphophorus hellerii (green swordtail), 1844 nucleotides. RefSeq lists it as uncharacterized. Lineage: Eukaryota; Metazoa; Chordata; Actinopteri; Cyprinodontiformes; Poeciliidae. The transcript is spliced from 3 exons. The record is from RefSeq and is a predicted model, not a curated record.
AAGAGAUGUUGGAGUUUUAUUCCUGGUUAAAUGGAGAUGGAAAGAGAAACCGGAAAGAUGUUGGACCUGAAUUCACCUAAAAGCAAACAGAUGAUGAGAAUCUGAUAUGUAAUUUUAAAAAGUUCAGUUUCGGUUCUGUUCGCGCCCCUGUGGAGGAUCUGGACCGGUUCUGGUGGAUCUGGACCCAGCUCUGGUUCUGGGUGCCGCUGGUGGAGGAGUGACGUCACACCUGAACUUUGGACUUCUGUCCAGAACCGCAGAUGAAGUCAUGGAAACCAGGUGUGUUUGAUGGACCGGCUCCAUCUUGUUUCUGCUCGGCUCCAUAUCUGCCGUCUGUUCUUUGUGCCGGACUUGGCGGGUCGAGCCGGCGGCGUGAAACCGGAUCCGCCCGCAGCUCGGGCUGAUCUGGGGAACAAUGCAGGAGGUGUAACUCAUCCACAUUGUUUCUGACGGCCCGAACACGCUGCUGGAGAGAACCACAGCCUGAUCCAGUUUCACGGAAACACCUCCAGGCAGAACCGAGCCGAGCGGCUUUGGGCUGAAGCACGACGAGCGGAUUUAAUGCGAAACAUCAGGUUCAGAACCGAAGCAGAACCUACAGCAGGAACUCUGCGAUGGUUCUCCUUGGACUGGGCCUGUCGCAACAAGCAAAACAAUGUUUAAAUUACACAAAUUAAAACGAGCUCUAAGGUUUUAGAUGCCGGACCGGACCGGGUCGGGUUUUCUCCUGACCCGGUCCGGACCUUCAGGUGUAUGGCAGGCUGAUUUUAAAUAAAUCAGCUUCCACACAUUCCAGAUAUCUGGAAUUAGCUUAUGACUACAAAUAUUUAGGCCUGUCGUAGUAAAUCAAUUAAUUAAACUCAACAGUUUAACAGGUUCGUUAAUUUUCUCUUUCUACCAAAAACUGAAUGAAAAAAGUUUUCAAUCUGGCGUUUUGGUCUCAAUUAAACCUUUUCUGAAAGACAAUUUUAUUUACAGGAACUCAUUUUAUUUAUUGUUGUUUAUUUUUUAUGGAUUUGUUUUGGGUAUUUUAAAUGUCUUCCAGUUUCAGUGUUAAAUGUUCAUUGGAAUUUAAAGUUUAUUGAUAUUUCAGGAUGUGUUCCUGCAUUAUGAUGCCAUGAAAAUAGUCUCAAAAACAACAAUACAAUCAUUUAUUGCAAUAACGUCUGGAACAAUUUAUCAUCCAGCAAAAUGUGUUACAGUGAUUUGGAUCAGGGCUUUCUGCUUCUGACCCAAAAUGUCCAAAUAAUAAACAAAAUGUUGAACUCUUUCUGUGGAGAACAGUUCAGGUCCAUUUUUCUAGGUGUGACACAAACUGGAAGGAUUUAAUAUGAUCUUUUUUUCUGACCAAUCAGCUGCUGGGAAACCGGUCGCCAUGGGUUACCAGCAUUCACCUGGGAUCUGCAGGAAAAGUUUCGGCAAACAGAGGAGAGCGGGAUUACCAGAGCGCAGACUGGUUCCAUAACACCAACAGCGUCUCAGGCCCGUUUCCCACACACCAGGCCGAAACAUGUGGAAGCGUUUAAAGAUGGCAGCCUCCAAUCACCGCGUCGUCCGUCACCCGACACCGCCCUGAGAGGGCCGUGAACCCGACAGACCAGAGGUCAGCGGCGACGAGGCCGAGCUCCAGGGCGGACCGUGGGCCUCCGGACCGGGCCGACCGGCACGUACCGGGCCGACCGGGCGCAACAUGAUCCAGGCAGGAUGUGGGCUGAUGCCGUUUGGGUCCAAACUCUUUACCUCCUGAGCCAAAACUGUCAACCUGAAAGUAACUGAUAUUUUAAAAUCUGGCAUUUAAAAAUUGAGAUAAAAAGCUAAAUGUUUGAUUUUUAUCUGCACAACUA